UGGGGUGUCGCCAAGUGGUAAGGCACGGGAUUCUGAUUCCCGCAUUCCAAGGUUCGAAUCCUUGCACCCCAGCCA
This 75-nucleotide transfer RNA is filed under the name Desulfuromonadales bacterium. Its description in RNAcentral is "tRNA-Gln". It matches the Rfam family "tRNA". Rfam says of the family: Transfer RNA (tRNA) molecules are approximately 80 nucleotides in length. Their secondary structure includes four short double-helical elements and three loops (D, anti-codon, and T loops). Lineage: Bacteria; Pseudomonadati; Thermodesulfobacteriota; Desulfuromonadia; Desulfuromonadales. The record is from RNAcentral.